GGGCGCGGUGAUUUCGAUUCGUGCGGUUGUACCAGGAGGUUCUUGAGUGUUUUAUUUGCUUUUGCUAUCGGGAACAGCCCACGGUGGCCCAGGGUAUAAAAUAUUACUGGUUAUUAUCUAUUGAUAUUCCUAUAGUAUCAUUUCCUUCACUAGUCCUCAUCCCCGCCGCCACUGACUCCUCCCCUCUCGCCCUCUCCAAGGCAUUCACACGAGCGUCUAGAUCUCGUCGCGCAACGCGGCCGGUGCCGGCAGGUGCAGCGUCCAGGCCUCAUCCCCCGCAUGGCUGACGCGGCUGCCGGCGUGUCCCUCGCACCCCACUUCAGAGCGUUCAGAUCCGUCAACUACGCACAUCGUCGUCUUCUAGUUGUGCUGCAAGAGUCACAAUUGUUGUCAGGCUGAACACACUGCAGCAUGCAACUACAAAUCUUGGAAUAUGUGGCGGUUGAGCUUAGGAUGUGGGGAGGAUUACAAUUGUUCAGAUCAGGCCAUGAGUGCUGCUACCUUGCCGAGAUGUAGAACAGGAUCCUCAGGUUCACACCAACUUAAUUAUUCUUUUGAUUUGAAUGAGGAUAUUUUGGCAGAGGAAGAAAUAGAUGAGGAAUGUUGGUUUCAUGAUCCCACAUGGGUGCUAUCUAAGAGGAUGACAAACCUGUGUUGACUACAGUACAAGAAAGGUUUACUUCAGGUGGGCAAAGGGAACAGAACAACAAGCUAGAAAGGUUGUCCACAAUUGUUUCAGGGGGCUCUUUCAGGACCUGUUAUGAAAGCCACAUCCUGACCGUGCUGAAUUACCAAAAGGAAAUUCGUAAAGAUGAAAACUUCUCGGUCAAUUGCUUGCAGGACUUAUCUGACGGAGGAGUACCUAAAGAUUGUAGGAGAUGAAGAAAAAGAAACCGGUGGCUGUACUAGAGGCCUAUGCAGAAGGAAGGAAGAUCAAGCUGAUGGGCAAUUUAGCUGGGACACUCAUGUAGCUGAAAAGCUUAAAGAUGGCUUGUAUGGCAGUUUUAUAAUUGAUCUUGGAGAAGAACACAAUGAUUCUGAGAAGGCUCUAACUAGUAGGUAUACCGAAGACAUUUGCAAUAAAAAGAGUUGGAGUUCUCACUCUAUCAUCUAUUGAAGAUAAUGACGAUGACGAUGAAUCUUACAGUACUGACUCAUCUAAUGAAUACGAGGAAUGUCCCACCACCAGGGAUAUCUUAUUUGAUUAAUAUUUCUAAGGUAUAUAAUGUUGUGCAAAGGACACUGGAGCUCAUUUGUGCAGUCAGUGGACAUUUGGUUAGUGAACCAGACUUCUAUUGCCUCCCUAGGAGAGAUUGUAAGAACUGAUGCUUCUGCAUCACGUGUCUCCAGUAUGUUGUAGAUCCAUUCGUAUUGUGUAUUAUCAUACCAUGUUCUUAGUAAUACCAAGAGAAUCUGCAGCUGAUGUUUUACAUGAUUAUUUUGUGGUGCCAAUUUGUUUGUGUGCCUGUCACGGUGGGACGAAAUAAUGUGUGUACCUAUUAUUUCUUAAUUGCCUCAUUAUUACCGUACCAUCUUGUAUAUAUAUGUAUAUAUUAUAUAAAAGCCAGGUGCACAACGG
Oryza brachyantha (malo sina) is the source of this 1579-nucleotide long non-coding RNA. RefSeq lists it as uncharacterized. NCBI's taxonomy places the organism in Eukaryota, Viridiplantae, Streptophyta, Magnoliopsida, Poales, Poaceae. The transcript is spliced from 6 exons. The record is from RefSeq and is a predicted model, not a curated record.